UACGAAGGGGGGCUAGCGUUGUUCGGAAUUACUGGGCGUAAAGCGCACGUAGGCGGACAUUUAAGUCAGGGGUGAAAUCCCGGGGCUCAACCUCGGAACUGCCUUUGAUACUGGGUGUCUUGAGUAUGGAAGAGGUAAGUGGAAUUGCGAGUGUAGAGGUGAAAUUCGUAGAUAUUCGCAGGAACACCAGUGGCGAAGGCGGCUUACUGGUCCAUUACUGACGCUGAGGUGCGAAAGCGUGGGGAGCAAACAGG
Molecule: ribosomal RNA, 254 nt
Filed under: uncultured bacterium
Lineage: Bacteria
Description: partial 16S ribosomal RNA
Rfam family: Bacterial small subunit ribosomal RNA
Source: RNAcentral